Homo sapiens (human) is the source of this 673-nucleotide long non-coding RNA. Ensembl annotates it as C6orf47 antisense RNA 1. Its record names the gene C6orf47-AS1. The record is from Ensembl. NCBI's taxonomy places the organism in Eukaryota, Metazoa, Chordata, Mammalia, Primates, Hominidae.
UAACUCUCACUUUGUAGUGGUAUAUUUAGGAUUUGAUGUGACACAGUUAUUUAUUGCUGAGUGAGCAAACCCCUAGCCCCCAAGUGGGGACUACAGGCUUCAGUGCUUCCCCCACACUGCCUGAGCUACCAGCCCUUCUGCACUGGCCCUCCUGCCAAUACUGCCUGCACUGUCCCCACUCCCUCUGGCUCCCAUGAUCACCAGAUCCGCCCUGCAGGCUCCCUGUCACCUGUGGGGCCCUAUCCAGACCCCCUAAUCCACUUGCCUAGCAGCCCCACUCUUCCCUCGAUGGCUCAGAUCCUGAGAUCCAAGGAACACCCUGGGUUUCCCAACCACUCUCUUACUGCAGAGGUCCUAGGUGCUCCUGGAUCGUGUAGUCUUUAACUGCUGCCCCAAGGGACCUCAAGGAAUAGGAAUUCUCUUUGUUAGGAGGUGGAAUGAAAGUGUCCAGCAAACUCCAGCCAGCAGCGUUCGUCCCUUGAUUUAGAGGGCUAUGAUUUCUACAAAGUGGCCCGACUGGCCCGCGAACACGCAGCAGAGACGCGGCCUCCACAAGGUCAGAACUAAGAUGUCCUCAGAGAUCCCCAGUUACGAAGCAAAGCGCGGGCCUACUUCGGGACCUACGCGUCCGGGCGCUGUGCGCGGGGACCGCUCCCGGGCCCAGCGUCGGGGC